Molecule: ribosomal RNA, 497 nt
Filed under: uncultured bacterium
Lineage: Bacteria
Description: partial 16S ribosomal RNA
Rfam family: Bacterial small subunit ribosomal RNA
Source: RNAcentral
GAUGAACGCUGGCGGCGUGCCUAAUACAUGCAAGUCGAGCGAACAGACGAGGAGCUUGCUCCUCUGACGUUAGCGGCGGACGGGUGAGUAACACGUGGAUAACCUACCUAUAAGACUGGGAUAACUUCGGGAAACCGGAGCUAAUACCGGAUAAUAUAUUGAACCGCAGGGUUCAGUAGUGAAAGACGGUUUUGCUGUCACUUAUAGAUGGAUCCGCGCCGCAUUAGCUAGUUGGUAAGGUAACGGCUUACCAAGGCAACGAUGCGUAGCCGACCUGAGAGGGGGAUCGGCCACACUGGAACUGAGACACGGUCCAGACUCCUACGGGAGGCAGCAGUAGGGAAUCUUCCGCAAUGGGCGAAAGCCUGACGGAGCAACGCCGCGUGAGUGAUGAAGGUCUUCGGAUCGUAAAACUCUGUUAUUAGGGAAGAACAAAUGUGUAAGUAACUAUGCACGUCUUGACGGUACCUAAUCAGAAAGCCACGGCUAACUACGUG